UUUGAAGCCCAUUCUAAGGUUGAAAAAUGUUGAGAAGCCCCUCCAAUUAGAUAUGAAUCAUAUGAUUAACACAAAUAUUGAAAUUAUCUUCUGGAGCAGGAACUGGUGCCUUCAACUCGUGACAUUCCCUACGAGUUUGUUGCUGAAGAAAAUUCUAUUCCACUUCAGAGAGUCAGAUAUUGUAGGCACUGCAAGGCAUAUGUAAAGGGGUUCGACCAUCAUUGUCCUACUUUUGGAAACUGUAUAGAUUGGAGAUGAACGAAUUUGGUAACCUGCAUAGCAAGAGUUUUUUGUUGAUAUUACCAGACACAUCCAUCACAGUGUAGUUGUACUUUUUGUUGAUAUUACCAAACAUGUAUUUUGACUAUGUUGUUGUGGGUUAUGAUUAUAUUGUGAUGGAUCUUAUUUUUUUGUCGAUAUUUUAUUGAAUAGAUUAAAAUGAACAGGUUUUUGUUGAUAUUACCAAAUGAACAGGUUUUUGUAAUGAUUUGUAAUGGAUAUUAUAUUCA
Non-coding RNA from Camellia sinensis, 509 nucleotides. The record is from RefSeq and is a predicted model, not a curated record. Lineage: Eukaryota; Viridiplantae; Streptophyta; Magnoliopsida; Ericales; Theaceae.